Molecule: non-coding RNA, 109 nt
Organism: Daucus carota subsp. sativus
Lineage: Eukaryota; Viridiplantae; Streptophyta; Magnoliopsida; Apiales; Apiaceae
Source: Rfam
GUCCCCUUGGGGACAUCCAAUAAAAUUGGAACGAUGCAGAGAAGAUUAGCACGGCCCCAGCGCAAGGAUGACACGCACAAAUCGAGGAAUGGUCCAAAAAAAAAUUCUU